GCCAGUGUGGCGUAGUGGUUUGAGUGUUGGACUACGGUUAUGGAGACCAGGGUUUGAUUCCCAGCUUGGCCA
Molecule: transfer RNA, 72 nt
Filed under: Phrynosoma platyrhinos (Desert horned lizard)
Lineage: Eukaryota; Metazoa; Chordata; Lepidosauria; Squamata; Phrynosomatidae
Description: tRNA-OTHER
Source: RNAcentral